AAGCCUGCGCUUCCAAUAGGUUUACUACCACCUGCAGAUUUUGAUGCCAGAUGUAACGAAGAUGAAACGUGGCUCACAAUCAGAGAGUGGCUAUACAAGCAAAACAAAGGUUCUGUGGUUUACAUAGCAUUUGGAAGCGAGGUGGAACUGAGUCAACCUGUAAUAAACGAGUUGGCACUCGGAUUAGAGUUAUCAGGGUUGCCAUUCUUUUGGGUUCUAAGGAAACGGGAUAACUCGGUUGAGUUACCCGAUGGAUUCAAAGAACGAGUCGAGGGACGUGGCAUGGUGUGGACGAGUUGGGUACCUCAACUCAGAAUCUUGGGUCAUGAAUCAGUAGGAGGAUUUGUGACUCACUGUGGUUAUAGUUCAGUUAUAGAGGCACU
This 383-nucleotide unclassified non-coding RNA is filed under the name Hevea brasiliensis (rubber tree). The record is from RNAcentral. Lineage: Eukaryota; Viridiplantae; Streptophyta; Magnoliopsida; Malpighiales; Euphorbiaceae.